Molecule: ribosomal RNA, 930 nt
Filed under: uncultured bacterium
Lineage: Bacteria
Description: bacterial SSU rRNA
Rfam family: Bacterial small subunit ribosomal RNA
Source: RNAcentral
GGGGGGCCCUGGCGCGGGAGGCCGGCCUACCAUGCAGUCGAGCGGAAACGAGUUAUCUGAACCUUCGGGGAACGAUAACGGCGUCGAGCGGCGGACGGGUGAGUAAUGCCUAGGAAAUUGCCCUGAUGUGGGGGAUAACCAUUGGAAACGAUGGCUAAUACCGCAUAAUGCCUACGGGCCAAAGAGGGGGACCUUCGGGCCUCUCGCGUCAGGAUAUGCCUAGGUGGGAUUAGCUAGUUGGUGAGGUAAUGGCUCACCAAGGCGACGAUCCCUAGCUGGUCUGAGAGGAUGAUCAGCCACACUGGAACUGAAACACGGCCCAAACUCCUACGGGAGGCAGCAGUGGGGAAUAUUGCACAAUGGGCGCAAGCCUGAUGCAGCCAUGCCGCGUGUGUGAAGAAGGCCUUCGGGUUGUAAAGCACUUUCAGUCGUGAGGAAGGUAGUGUAGUUAAUAGCUGCAUUAUUUGACGUUAGCGACAGAAGAAGCACCGGCUAACUCCGUGCCAGCAGCCGCGGUAAUACGGAGGGUGCGAGCGUUAAUCGGAAUUACUGGGCGUAAAGCGCAUGCAGGUGGUUUGUUAAGUCAGAUGUGAAAGCCCGGGGCUCAACCUCGGAAUUGCAUUUGAAACUGGCAGACUAGAGUACUGUAGAGGGGGGUAGAAUUUCAGGUGUAGCGGUGAAAUGCGUACAGAUCUGAAGGAAUACCGGUGGCGAAGGCGCUCACCUGGACAGAUACUGACACUCAAAUGCGAAAGCGUGAGGAGCAAACAGGAUUACAUACCCUGGUAGUCCACGCCGUAGACGAUGUCUACUUGGAGGUUGUAGUCUUGAGCCGUGACUUUCGGAGCUAACGCGUCAAGUAAUCCGCCUGGGGAGUACGGGUCGCAGAUWACACUCAAAUGCAUUUGACUGGAAGGGGCGAAUUCCUGC